UGUAUUACAGAGGUGGCUCUGU
This 22-nucleotide unclassified non-coding RNA is filed under the name Mus musculus (house mouse). RNAcentral's name for it is "oocyte_clustered_small_RNA11144". Lineage: Eukaryota; Metazoa; Chordata; Mammalia; Rodentia; Muridae. The record is from RNAcentral.